UAUAAUAGGCAAACUUAAGGAAACUUAAGGACGCAAAGCUAUAGGGGCUAAGGUUUAUACUAUGUCAGCCAGUUGCCAA
RNAcentral lists this non-coding RNA (79 nucleotides) under uncultured Terrisporobacter sp. RNAcentral describes it as "Cyclic di-GMP-I riboswitch". It matches the Rfam family "c-di-GMP-I riboswitch aptamer". Rfam says of the family: GEMM was predicted in a large-scale screen for bacterial structured RNA regulatory elements. Genes associated with GEMM are involved in a diverse array of functions, including chemotaxis regulation, signal transduction, secretion and chitin. Lineage: Bacteria; Bacillati; Bacillota; Clostridia; Peptostreptococcales; Peptostreptococcaceae. The record is from RNAcentral.